Molecule: ribosomal RNA, 878 nt
Filed under: Agromyces sp.
Lineage: Bacteria; Bacillati; Actinomycetota; Actinomycetes; Micrococcales; Microbacteriaceae
Description: bacterial SSU rRNA
Rfam family: Bacterial small subunit ribosomal RNA
Source: RNAcentral
CGUAAAGAGCUCGUAGGCGGUUUGUCGCGUCUGCUGUGAAAUCCCGAGGCUCAACCUCGGGCGUGCAGUGGGUACGGGCAGACUGGAGUGCGGUAGGGGAGAAUGGAAUUCCUGGUGUAGCGGUGGAAUGCGCAGAUAUCAGGAGGAACACCGAUGGCGAAGGCAGUUCUCUGGGCCGUAACUGACGCUGAGGAGCGAAAGCGUGGGGAGCGAACAGGAUUAGAUACCCUGGUAGUCCACGCCGUAAACGUUGGGCGCUAGAUGUGGGGACCUUUCCACGGUUUCCGUGUCGUAGCUAACGCAUUAAGCGCCCCGCCUGGGGAGUACGGCCGCAAGGCUAAAACUCAAAGGAAUUGACGGGGGCCCGCACAAGCGGCGGAGCAUGCGGAUUAAUUCGAUGCAACGCGAAGAACCUUACCAAGGCUUGACAUGUACGAGAACGCCUCAGAAAUGAGGAACUCUUUGGACACUCGUAUGCAGGUGGUGCAUGGUUGUCGUCAGCUCGUGUCGUGAGAUGUUGGGUUAAGUCCCGCAACGAGCGCAACCCUCGUCGUAUGUUGCCAGCACGUAAUGGUGGGAACUCAUAUGAGACUGCCGGGGUCAACUCGGAGGAAGGUGGGGAUGACGUCAAAUCAUCAUGCCCCUUAUGUCUUGGGCUUCACGCAUGCUACAAUGGCCGGUACAAAGGGCUGCGAUGUCGUAAGGCGGAGCGAAUCCCAAAAAGCCGGUCUCAGUUCGGAUUGAGGUCUGCAACUCGACCUCAUGAAGUCGGAGUCGCUAGUAAUCGCAGAUCAGCAACGCUGCGGUGAAUACGUUCCCGGGCCUUGUACACACCGCCCGUCAAGUCAUGAAAGUCGGUAACACCCGAAGCCAGUGGC